RNAcentral lists this ribosomal RNA (395 nucleotides) under Athelia sp. RNAcentral's name for it is "bacterial SSU rRNA". It matches the Rfam family "Eukaryotic small subunit ribosomal RNA", at positions 668 to 1044 of the family's 1831-position model. Lineage: Eukaryota; Fungi; Basidiomycota; Agaricomycetes; Atheliales; Atheliaceae. The record is from RNAcentral.
GUGUGUUACUGUUCGGCUGGGUCUUACCUCUUGGUGAGCCGGUUCGUAUCCUUCAUUGGGUGCGGGUCGGCGGAACCAGGACUUUUACCUUGAGAAUAAUUAGAGUGUUCACAAGCAGGCCUAUGCCCGAAUACAUUAGCAUGGAAUAAUAGACAUAGGACGUGCGGUUCUAUUCUUGUUGGUUUCUAGAGUCGCCGUAAAUGAUUAAUAGGUGAUAGUUGCCGGGGCAUUGGGUUAUUCAGUCGCUAUGAGGUGAAUAUUCUUGGAUUGACUGAAGACCGACUACUGCGAAAGCAUCUGCCAAGGAUGUUACUUCAUUAAUCACAGAACGAAGGUUAGGUGGAUCGAACCAACGAUCAGAUACCGUUGUAGUCUUAACAGUAAUUACUAUGCCG